This 340-nucleotide long non-coding RNA is filed under the name Androctonus crassicauda. The record is from RNAcentral. Lineage: Eukaryota; Metazoa; Arthropoda; Arachnida; Scorpiones; Buthidae.
ACAAAUAUAGAUGUGAGAGCAGGCAGUGCCACCAUAUAUAAGAAAAACUGAGCCAGCACAAUUGCAGACAUCUAAUAUACUAAUGAAAGUUAGUAGUGAAUAUGAUAGGCAAUUUGCUGCUGCAGACAAAUACAGAGAUAUAUGUAUAGCAGAAGCAAUAAUUAAUAAGAAAUGUUUAUUGGUGUCCAUUCACAUAAAUCUCAACAUCUUGGAGAACAUGGAAUUUAUCAUCUCUCUCAGUUCACUUGUUUACAGCCCCGAUAUUGGCAAAAUAAGUUCAGAACUACAUUAACUGUCUUUUGCGGCAUACUUCAAUGACAGAACUAAUGAGAUAGUGCCA